GGUUUUAACCCAGUAUCUCAAGGUACUAAGGGCGUACGACCUACCACUCGUGGUUGCGUCGAAAACCUCAAUUUUUGGACAGCCUUCCCGGGGUAUCCGAGAGGGCAGAA
This is a non-coding RNA of Ancylostoma duodenale, 110 nucleotides long. NCBI's taxonomy places the organism in Eukaryota, Metazoa, Nematoda, Chromadorea, Rhabditida, Ancylostomatidae. The record is from Rfam.